This is a long non-coding RNA of Selaginella moellendorffii, 587 nucleotides long. RefSeq lists it as uncharacterized. The record is from RefSeq and is a predicted model, not a curated record. Lineage: Eukaryota; Viridiplantae; Streptophyta; Lycopodiopsida; Selaginellales; Selaginellaceae. The transcript has 4 exons.
CGGGGCGGUGCGCCGGAGCGACGUCAAAUCCACGAUCCAGCAAUCGGCAGAAAUUUCUAGGUGUCUGAUCCAUGGCUCCAUCUCCAUUCAAGUUCCUUGUAGCGAUUCGCGUGUUUUCUUCGCAUUCAUGCAUUUGGAAAUUCCCAGGCAUGGACCGGACUGCACUGGGGGACUGUUGUAGUGCAGAGACAAAGAUUGGCGCUCAAAGCAACGAGCUGGAAUCGUGGCUUGGAGCGUUUCUCCAGUGGACGCCAGGCCGGGUCCGGCUAUGCCAGUCAAGUGUUGGGCAAGAGGAGUAGCGCGCUUUUUAAUGCAGCAAAGUGAACUUUAAGCUUGGCGCAAAAUCCAGGGUUCUACAAGUUAAAAUCAUCCAACUUCAGCAAAUAGAACCAAGAAAAGAUGUGGAUCGUCCAGAGAGCUCUCAAGGCGCGGUUGAUAUAUAUACCAGACAAGUUAAAAUGGAGACAAGCUCCUAUUGUAUCACUGCAGCCUCGCGACACUUCAUCUGUGGCGCACUGGCAGUUUUAAUUGAUCGCAAGGCAACAACGCCAUGACUCUCAAUCAAGGUCUCAGACAUGCUGAUGGAA